GUGGGGAAUCUUCCGCAAUGGACGAAAGUCUGACGGAGCAACGCCGCGUGAGUGAUGAAGGUCUUCGGAUUGUAAAGCUCUGUUAAUCGGGACGAAAGAGCCUAGUGUGAAUAAUGCUAGGAAGUGACGGUACCGGAAUAGAAAGCCACGGCUAACUACGUGCCAGCAGCCGCGGUAAUACGUAGGUGGCAAGCGUUGUCCGGAAUUAUUGGUCGUAAAGCGCGCGCAGGCGGAUCUGCCAGUCUGUCUUAAAAGUUCGGGGCUUAACCCCGUGAUGGGAUGGAAACUACAGAGCUAGAGGAUCCGAGAGGAAAGAGGAAUUCCUAGUGUAGCGGUGAAAUGCGUAGAUAUUAGGAAGAACACCAGUGGCGAAGGCGACUUUCUGGACGAAAACUGACGCUGGGGCGCGAAAGCGUGGGGAGCAAACAGGAUUAGAUACCCUGGUAGUCC
RNAcentral lists this ribosomal RNA (450 nucleotides) under uncultured bacterium. RNAcentral describes it as "partial 16S ribosomal RNA". It matches the Rfam family "Bacterial small subunit ribosomal RNA", at positions 354 to 796 of the family's 1533-position model. The record is from RNAcentral.